This 31-nucleotide non-coding RNA is filed under the name Mus musculus (house mouse). Lineage: Eukaryota; Metazoa; Chordata; Mammalia; Rodentia; Muridae. The record is from RNAcentral.
UCCUAGUGUAUUCUUGAAUUUGGUUUCCAUU